Long non-coding RNA from Zingiber officinale, 721 nucleotides. RefSeq lists it as uncharacterized. Lineage: Eukaryota; Viridiplantae; Streptophyta; Magnoliopsida; Zingiberales; Zingiberaceae. The transcript is spliced from 2 exons. The record is from RefSeq and is a predicted model, not a curated record.
GUCCUCUGGUCGUCAUCAUGCUCUACUUGGAGGUCUUCCCGACUUCCCAGCUCUUCUGAGAACAAAAAAUACAAAACGGGAAAAGAACGGUGGUUAGGCACAUGGAAGUACUUGACAAGCUAGGCAUUCCUUAUCUCAGGAUCAGGGCCAUUAGGCACUCUUCUCUUGCUACUGUUGAAAGGAUCCGAGUUCUUGUGACCUGUUACUACGGACCUAGCUGUUGACGAAGGCACAGCAAGAGCAGCCACAGGUGGUACAGAUCUUGCCCCUGCACAACGUGUUGUUGCCAUGGACACCAGGAGAGAAGUGAAUAACAAGAAUGUCAAGUUACUACUACGGUCUCUUCUCAUCUCUGCUACAAACUCUUACUGUCAAAACCUCUACAGUUACCAAGAGGCCAAAUCCUGAGUGGAAGAGAGGAACAAGGCAAUGGAUGGCUAAUUCGUUUGUGCAAAUUCUUAUACUGGGGGAAAUUUUAAGUCUCCUUUAAUUUUGCUUUGGUGUCUUUUUCUUUUAUCUGUGGAGUUUGGAAGUGCUUCUGUAGUGCUUUUUGUGGGACUGCGUAGAGGAGACAACAAAAGCAAGCAGGUACCGAACGUGAAGUGUUCAUUUGGAGCUCCCUUGCUUUGGGACCAACCGGGCCCACCCAUUCCUUCUUUGGACGCUGUUUUAAGAAAAUCAAAUCAGAUCGAGUGAGAUUAAUAUGGUAGUGUUUCAGAAA